AACGUAGGUCACAAGCGUUGUCCGGAAUUACUGGGUGUAAAGGGAGCGCAGGCGGGAAGACAAGUUGGAAGUGAAAUCCAUGGGCUCAACCCAUGAACUGCUUUCAAAACUGUUUUUCUUGAGUAGUGCAGAGGUAGGCGGAAUUCCCGGUGUAGCGGUGGCAUGCGUAGAUAUCGGGAGGAACACCAGUAGCGAGGGCGGCCUACUGGGCACCAACUGACGCUGAGGCUCGAAAGUGUGGGUAGCAAACAGG
Molecule: ribosomal RNA, 253 nt
Filed under: uncultured bacterium
Lineage: Bacteria
Description: partial 16S ribosomal RNA
Rfam family: Bacterial small subunit ribosomal RNA
Source: RNAcentral